Molecule: ribosomal RNA, 481 nt
Filed under: uncultured bacterium
Lineage: Bacteria
Description: partial 16S ribosomal RNA
Rfam family: Bacterial small subunit ribosomal RNA
Source: RNAcentral
GACGAACGCUGGCGGCGUGCUUAACACAUGCAAGUCGAACGGUGAAGGAGAGCUUGCUCUCCGGAUCAGCGGCGAACGGGUGAGUAACACGUGGGCAACCUGCCCCAGACUUCGGGAUAACGCUUCGAAAGAGGUGCUAAUACCGGAUACGAACUCCUUGGGCAUCCUUGGAGUUGGAAAGUUUUUCGGUCUGGGAUGGGCCCGCGGCCUAUCAGCUUGUUGGUGAGGUAACGGCUCACCAAGGCGACGACGGGUAGCCGGCCUGAGAGGGCGACCGGCCACACUGGGACUGAGACACGGCCCAGACUCCUACGGGAGGCAGCAGUGGGGAAUAUUGCGCAAUGGGCGAAAGCCUGACGCAGCAACGCCGCGUGAGGGAUGCCGGCCUUCGGGUUGUAAACCUCUUUCAGCAGGGAAGAAGCGAAAGUGACGGUACCUGCAGAAGAAGCACCGGCUAACUACGUGCCAGCCGCCGCAGUAA